RNAcentral lists this ribosomal RNA (484 nucleotides) under uncultured bacterium. RNAcentral's name for it is "partial 16S ribosomal RNA". It matches the Rfam family "Bacterial small subunit ribosomal RNA", at positions 28 to 507 of the family's 1533-position model. The record is from RNAcentral.
AUUGAACGCUGGCGGCAUGCUUUACACAUGCAAGUCGAACGGCAGCGCGGGCUUCGGCCUGGCGGCGAGUGGCGAACGGGUGAGUAAUGCAUCGGAACGUGCCCAGUAGUGGGGGAUAGCCCGGCGAAAGCCGGAUUAAUACCGCAUACGACCUGAGGGUGAAAGCGGGGGACCGAAAGGCCUCGCGCUAUUGGAGCGGCCGAUGUCGGAUUAGCUAGUUGGUGGGGUAAAGGCUUACCAAGGCGACGAUCCGUAGCUGGUCUGAGAGGACGACCAGCCACACUGGGACUGAGACACGGCCCAGAUUCCUACGGGAGGCAGCAGUGGGGAAUUUUGGACAAUGGGGGCAACCCUGAUCCAGCCAUGCCGCGUGCGGGAAGAAGGCCUUCGGGUUGUAAACCGCUUUUGUUCGGGAAGAAAUCCUCUGGGCUAAUACCCCGGGGGGAUGACGGUACCGGAAGAAUAAGCACCGGCUAACUACGUG